Long non-coding RNA from Lontra canadensis (Northern American river otter), 245 nucleotides. RefSeq lists it as uncharacterized. NCBI's taxonomy places the organism in Eukaryota, Metazoa, Chordata, Mammalia, Carnivora, Mustelidae. The transcript has 3 exons. The record is from RefSeq and is a predicted model, not a curated record.
GAUUAAUUAUCAGGGAUGGGAAUACCUGUGUCAAAAUAACCGUUGUGGAAAAUUCUUGCUCAAAAAGGCUGAGAUCAACUAGCACUUCCAUGCAAUGAUUGUUCUCCAGACUAGAUGGAUUAACAGACUAUAAGAAUUAAACCAGAUUUUAAGGCAUCUUAUUACAGUACAGAACCAGCAAACUGAAGAAACUUCUACAAAGACCUUGAAAGAAACCUUUCCUUCCUUCUUCAACAAUUUCUGGA